AUUGAACGCUGGCGGCAGGCCUAACACAUGCAAGUCGAGCGAGCGGCGGACGGGUGAGUAAUGUAUGGGGACUGCCCGCUAGAGGGGGAUAACUACUGGAAACGGUAGCUAAUACCGCAUACUAUCGGAUAACCCAUAUGGGAUUCGGUAGUAGGUGAGGUAAUGGCUCACCUAGGCGACGAUCCCUAGCUGGUCUGAGAGGAUGAUCGGCCACACUGGAACUGAUACACGGCCCAGACGCCUACGGAGGCAGCAGUGGGGAAUAUUGCACAAUGGGCGAAACCCUGAUCCAGCCAUCCCGCGUGUAUGAUGAAGGCCUUCGGGUUGUAAAGUACUUUUGGCAGAGAAGCGGUAUCUGCAGAAUAAGCACCGGCUAACUACGUGCCAGCAGCCGCGGUAAUUC
This 403-nucleotide ribosomal RNA is filed under the name uncultured bacterium. RNAcentral's name for it is "partial 16S ribosomal RNA". It matches the Rfam family "Bacterial small subunit ribosomal RNA", at positions 30 to 526 of the family's 1533-position model. The record is from RNAcentral.